Molecule: ribosomal RNA, 474 nt
Filed under: uncultured organism
Description: partial 16S ribosomal RNA
Rfam family: Bacterial small subunit ribosomal RNA
Source: RNAcentral
CGUACACUCCUGCGGGAGGCAGCAGUGGGGAAUAUUGCACAAUGGGCGCAAGCCUGAUGCAGCCAUGCCGCGUGUAUGAAGAAGGCCUUCGGGUUGUAAAGUACUUUCAGCGGGGAGGAAGGCGAUAAGGUUAAUAACCUUGUUGAUUGACGUUACCCGCAGAAGAAGCACCGGCUAACUCCGUGCCAGCAGCCGCGGUAAUACGGAGGGUGCAAGCGUUAAUCGGAAUUACUGGGCGUAAAGCGCACGCAGGCGGUCUGUCAAGUCGGAUGUGAAAUCCCCGGGCUCAACCUGGGAACUGCAUUAGAAACUGGCAGGCUAGAGUCUUGUAGAGGGGGGUAGAAUUCCAGGUGUAGCGGUGAAAUGCGUAGAGAUCUGGAGGAAUACCGGUGGCGAAGGCGGCCCCCUGGACAAAGACUGACGCUCAGGUGCGAAAGCGUGGGGAGCAAACAGGAUUAGAAACCCGAGUAGUCC